This 335-nucleotide ribosomal RNA is filed under the name Pheidole hyatti. RNAcentral describes it as "partial 12S ribosomal RNA". The record is from RNAcentral. Lineage: Eukaryota; Metazoa; Arthropoda; Insecta; Hymenoptera; Formicidae.
UUAUAAAAAAAAAAUAAUUAAUAGAAAAUUAAAUGAGAUCAUUAAAUUUAAAUAAUUUGGCGGUAUUUUAAAUAGUUAGAGGAAUUUGUUAGUUAAAUGAUACUCCACGAAUGGAAUGUCCUGAUGUAGUUUUUAUAUAUUGUUGUAUUAAAAUUAUUUUAUAAGAAUAAUAAUUAAUAUAUUAAGUUUAAUUUGAAUUCAAAUCAAAAUGUAGAAUUAUUAGGAUUAAAUGAAUUACAAUUUAAUAAAAUAUUAGAAUUAUUUCUUUAAUUAGAAUAAUAAAAGAGGAUUUAAAAGUAAAUUUGAAUAAAUAUUUAAAUUGAAAUUUAAUUAAA